GACGAACGCUGGCGGCGUGCUUAACACAUGCCAGUCGAGCGGAAAGGCCCUUUCGGGUGUACUCGAGCGGCGAACGGGUGAGUAACACGUGAGUAAUCUGCCCUUCACUUCGGGAUAACCUCCCGAAACGGGGGCAAAAACCCGAUACCACCAUUCCUCCCAUGCUGUGGAGGUGGGAAGUUUUUCGGUGGGGGAUGUGCUAGGGGCCUUCCCGCUUGUUGGUGGGGUAAUGGCCUACCCAGGCUACGACGGGUAGCCGGCCUGAGAGGGUGACCGGGCACAGUGGGACUGAGACAGGGGCAGGAGGCAUACUGCAGGCAGGAGUGGGAGAGAGUGGAAAAUGGGCGGAAGCCGGAUCCAGCAACUCCGCGUGGGGGAUGACUGCCUUCGGGUUGUAAAGCUCUUUCACCGGUGACGAAGAGAAAGUGACGGUAGCAGGAGAAGAAGCACCGGCCAACUACGUG
Molecule: ribosomal RNA, 464 nt
Filed under: uncultured bacterium
Lineage: Bacteria
Description: partial 16S ribosomal RNA
Rfam family: Bacterial small subunit ribosomal RNA
Source: RNAcentral